AAAGGGAGACCUAAUUCAGGUAAGAGACGAAAAAAAAGUAGUCGCUACCAAGAAUCAAUCCCAAAAGGUCGGAGCGAGGCGAAAUUGGCUUUCAAACUAGGUUCUGGGUUCAAACAAGACCUGAAUCAGGAACAAGGGCUAUUAGCUCAGGUGGUUAGAGCGCACCCCUGAUAAGGGUGAGGUCCCUGGUUCGAGUCCAGGAUGGCCCACCUGCACAGGUGGCAAAAACAAGAGAAGCGAGGAAUCAGCACCUUAUCUUACUUAUAUAGUAAGAGAGAAUGCUGGCUCUGAGUUCAGAGUCCAGAGGAACCUUGAAAACUGCAUAGAGCUAGGUGAAAAAGCCAAAAAAGAAGACCGUCAG
RNAcentral lists this transfer RNA (361 nucleotides) under uncultured Microcystis sp. RNAcentral's name for it is "partial 16S-23S ribosomal RNA intergenic spacer". The stretch from base 136 to 209 matches the Rfam family "tRNA". The record is from RNAcentral. Lineage: Bacteria; Bacillati; Cyanobacteriota; Cyanophyceae; Chroococcales; Microcystaceae.